RNAcentral lists this unclassified non-coding RNA (276 nucleotides) under Thelephoraceae sp. RNAcentral describes it as "partial contains small subunit ribosomal RNA, internal transcribed spacer 1, and 5.8S ribosomal RNA". The stretch from base 1 to 46 matches the Rfam family "Eukaryotic small subunit ribosomal RNA", at positions 1786 to 1831 of the family's 1831-position model. The record is from RNAcentral. Lineage: Eukaryota; Fungi; Basidiomycota; Agaricomycetes; Thelephorales; Thelephoraceae.
AAGUCGUAACAAGGUUUCCGUAGGUGAACCUGCGGAAGGAUCAUUACCGAAUUGUUAACAAGAGUUGUUGCUGGUCCCUGUAUGGGGGCAUGUGCACACUCUGUUUACACAUCCACUCACACCUGUGCACCCUCUGUAGUUCUAUGGCCUGGGUGGGCUUUGCCCCCCUGCUGUGGUUCUACGUCUUUACACACACACUACAACAAAGUCUCAUGGAAUGUAUGUCGCGUUUAACGCAAUGAAAUACAACUUUCAGCAACGGAUCUCUUGGCUCUC